CGCUUUCUUCAUUUCAGUCUUUCCUAUGGACCGUCAACACGACUGCACUACUGAAGAGAGUAUAAUAGGUCACCGAAGUGCACCUGUGCAUUCACCGUUUGCUUCAGAGGCGGAUGCAGCUCUGGAUGAUUUCCCAAUAGCCCAUCCACUCCUUUCCACAGGAGGAAUGCUGAACUUGCCAGUUCACAAUGGAAGGAAAGGGAAAACAAGAGGCAAAGAGUGAGAAACUCAGAGAGAAACAGAAAUUCUACAGGAAUACAGCUGAACACAACAGUCUGCGCAGAAGAAGCGUUAACCGAAGCAACAGGAGAUCUAAACACUGUCUCUUCCAACACUUGUGAAGUUUCCUUCCAAGUUGGCUGCGCUUCUGCCUCUAUUGCAGUAGUGCCAUCCGAGAGUAAUUUCAUCAGAUGCGAUGCUCCAAUAAUCAGUGUGACUGUAAUCAAUAGCUGUAAG
Molecule: long non-coding RNA, 456 nt
Filed under: Gallus gallus (chicken)
Lineage: Eukaryota; Metazoa; Chordata; Aves; Galliformes; Phasianidae
Description: lncRNA (ENSGALG00010002831.1)
Source: RNAcentral